Molecule: ribosomal RNA, 496 nt
Filed under: uncultured bacterium
Lineage: Bacteria
Description: partial 16S ribosomal RNA
Rfam family: Bacterial small subunit ribosomal RNA
Source: RNAcentral
UUGAACGCUGGCGGCAGGCCUAACACAUGCAAGUCGAGCGCGAAAGGUUUUCGGACUGAGUAAAGCGGCGGACGGGUGAGUAACGCGUGGGAAUCUGCCCAGUAGUGGGGGACAACCGUCGGAAACGACUGCUAAUACCGCAUAUGCCCUACGGGGGAAAGGGGGGGAUCUUCGGACCUCUCGCUAUUGGAUGAGCCCGCGUCGGAUUAGCUAGUUGGUAGGGUAAAGGCCUACCAAGGCUACGAUCCGUAACUGGUCUGAGAGGUUGAUCAGUCACACUGGAACUGAGACACGGUCCAGACUCCUACGGGAGGCAGCAGUGGGGAAUAUUGGACAAUGGGGGCAACCCUGAUCCAGCCAUGCCGCGUGUGUGAAGAAGGCCUUAGGGUUGUAAAGCACUUUCAGUGGGGAGAAAGGUUUGUCACCUAAUACGUGAUGAAAUUGAUGUUACCCACAGAAGAAGCACCGGCUAACUCCGUGCCAGCCGCCGCCGUAA